RNAcentral lists this transfer RNA (75 nucleotides) under Crocosphaera watsonii WH 8501. RNAcentral's name for it is "tRNA-Val". It matches the Rfam family "tRNA". From Rfam's summary of the family: Transfer RNA (tRNA) molecules are approximately 80 nucleotides in length. RNAcentral also lists the same sequence under 3 other names. Lineage: Bacteria; Bacillati; Cyanobacteriota; Cyanophyceae; Chroococcales; Aphanothecaceae. The record is from RNAcentral.
GGGCGAUUAGCUCAGCGGUAGAGCUCCUGCCUUACAAGCAGGCUGUCACUGGUUCAAAUCCAGUAUCGCCCACUA